UUCUUCCUCCUGCAGUGGAAAUGAAUGCCGGAUGGAUGGGAAUCCUGGAUCAGGAUGGCAUCCCACUGCCUGGAACAGCAAAGGUGUUAGAAAAGUUGUUUUCCAGUUGAAGAGAUUCCCUGAGCCACCCCAAGGAAGGAACUGCCUGUGGAAGGUGAGAAGCGUAUUGAGCCAGAAGGAGAAAAGCUCUUCCUUUUGUUAUGCCAAAAGUUCAAUGCCCAAAUAAAGCGUUGGAUUGGA
Long non-coding RNA from Corvus hawaiiensis (hawaiian crow), 240 nucleotides. RefSeq lists it as uncharacterized. The transcript has 2 exons. NCBI's taxonomy places the organism in Eukaryota, Metazoa, Chordata, Aves, Passeriformes, Corvidae. The record is from RefSeq and is a predicted model, not a curated record.